CAGAUUUAUUAUCUCUUACAAACUGUAACAUCCCAUGUUGAAUUUAAUUUCGACAUUGUAAACACAAUCAUAUAACCAUCUUUAUUUUUCUUUCUGCAAUUCUUUUUUAAUUAAAAGCUAUUUUGGCUAAUACAACUCAAAUUUAUAAUAAUCUGAGUUUCUACUUUAGCUAAGGAACACAGAACUAAAGAACAAAAUGCAGUAGGAGGUAACUGGUUAAUUAAAUUAUUUAACAACUGCAUGUUUUAUAACUAAGGCACUUCAUUUUCAGUUUUUAUUUUGUUUAAAAUUUCCUAGGAAUUUACCAAUGUUUAUAAAAAUUUAAAAACAGGUGAAAAUCAUUGCAAAAAAUUAACUUCAGUUUUCUGAGUAAAUAUCACUCUCCAUCUUGUUUUUGUUUUAAAUUUAAAAAAAAAACCCUUACGUUCUGAAACAGUCAGAUACAGUUUUUGGUUUUUGAUUCAUAUUAGUUCACUAAUUUUAAUUUUCCUAGAAUGCUGAUAAUUAUCCAAACUAUCUGUAAAAGCUGGUAAUGUGUACGUCAUAGACUUGGGAUUGUCUACAAUACGGACACCAGAGCUCAAGUCAUUCUGGCCCAGCUUUUGGCCCAGAAGAAAGAAAGCAGCUUGGUAAUCUGGGCGACCCCAGUUACUGAGGCACCAUCUCUCCUGAAGUGGGCCUGGAAGAAGAACAGGUGGAGGAGACAGCAGGAGGAGAUGGCAGCUUCGCCUUCUCCACCUUCUUCCACUUCUGGGUCUGCUCUGGAAGGAGAGAUGGUGGCUCAGUGACCUGGGCAUCCCAAGGUAACCAAAAUUUUGUCACAGUUAUUUUUAGUAAAAGCCACGGACAGGUCGAGGGCGACAAAGAAAAAUUCACACAAGCCUGCAACCUGCCUGAUGUUUACUAAAAAUUAUGGGGAGGGAGGAGGACUCGAAGGGCAGGCGACUGACGCCUGAGCUCCACUAUGUGUGUGUGGGGGGCAUGCUGCUAUCCACCACUGCUGACAGCUCUGGGGCCCUCACUGCACCCUUGGCAGCUCAGAGUUCCAGGGCCCACCAGCUGACAGCUCCAGCUCACUGCCCUGGGGCAUGGGAAUGAACUUUCACAGACGUCUCAAAAUCAUGGAAUCCGUGACCUCAGUGACGAAAUAUUAUCUUUACUCAUGAACCUGAAGCUCUGAAAUGGGUGAUCAUGAAACAUUAGUAUAACUUUUACUUUUUUGGGUAGCACAAGCUAUAGAGGUCAUAUUCAGUAAACAAAUAGUCCUUUGUUGUGUUAUAUUCUCAUUAACCUGUGUUAUUAAAUAAUUCAUAUGGAGAAGUACAAUAAUCUAAACAAUAUAUUAUUGAUACACUGUAAUUUAACUUUGUUAAACACCAAACAUCAAAUCCAAUAGUACAGUAUAUAUGAUAAAUACUAAUUAGUUCAUAAAAUGUAGAUAUUAAAGAGGAUGACAAUUAGACCCAGAAUCUAAGAAUACAAUCUGUAUAAUGUUUAAAGUGUUGCUGUGAAAAGUUCCUAAAAAGGAAGAGGAACGGGAACCAAUAAAGCAAACCCCUUUAUACCUCAAGAGUUCCCCAAUAUGAAUGAUGUCUAGGGUCCUCUGUUAAGCUUAUGUUUUGAAUACAUCUUUUCAAGGAGAUAAAUUGAUACCAUUUAUCAAAACUUUUAUGCUAUUUGUUCCUUAAAUCCAUAUAGCCAAAUACCGCAAGGAUAAAGGAAUUGUGCCAAAUUAUACAACAGACUAAGUUUGAUCUAUAUAGUUUCUCUUACCAUAUGCAGUUAGCUGCCACUCAAAGCCAUUCGCCAUAAGUCAGGGGAAUUUGUUUACUCCCCUUUACAAGGCUGCACAUUUUAAAGUCUGACAACAGAAAUCAAAGCAGUUAUCUAAAGACAGCUAUUUCUUUGGAAAUUAUACCAGCAGGCCAAGUGUGAAAUAUACUGGACAGUACUUUCACACUAUCUUUAAAAAUAUGUACACAUCUUUUUCACAUACAUAUCUCCAAUAUGGAGAUAUGAAGCACCCAUAUUUGCAGAUUUUGAUGAUUCUCAAAUAUAAUAUGUUGACUUUACUGUCAACAAUGAUGUUUCAGAAAGGGAAAGGAAGGUUACUCACCUGUAACUGGAAUUUUCUGAGUAUAUUCUCUGUGCACUCACCCACUUUGGAUGAGAGUUCCCCUUUGUUUUGUAGAUGGUUGAGUUCUCUGAUGCUCUUUAUUGGCAUGCCACCUUACAGAGUCAGACUUUUGACAUGCCACUAUAAAAAGAUCCUGCUAUCUAAUCUGCUGUCUAGUCCUGCAAGCUACUAAUAUAGAGCUAAUGAAAAAACUGUCCCCUUGGAGAUGCUGCUCCUCCCUAUAUUGCUCUUCUCAAUUUUAGUGUCAGGAAGGACCUUCUACUCCCCUCUUAAAAUCCUUCUUUUUGAGUUCAGCUCAUAUCCCUACCUAAACAGGAGAUGCUCUCUCAGACCAUGAACUGAAUCAAGUAAUCCAAUUUAUCAAGAUGGGAUUCUAAAAAACUGACCCACUGCAACCAACUAUUGUGAUACACCAAUCCCCUCUAGGUGUCUAGGAGAUGUGCUCUGAGCACCAUAAGCUUGAAUGCAAGCACUUGCACACUCUGAACACUAGGCUGUACAGGCUCUAUACCUGGGUGGCUCACCAUAAAUAGAGUCCAGAUAACAGAGUAUUUACUUUACUAGGGCUCCCAGAAAAUAAAAGGUGCAAGCAACCUUGGUAUAAUUACCUUUACUGCAACAAUACUCAUCAACUUAAAAUUACUAUGCUAGCUCCUUGGGCAGUCCAGUACCUGGGUAUAAAGAUCCAUAGGGAUCUUCAGGCUCAGUACCAGGGAUAGUUCUUGUCUUUUCCUCUCACAAAGGAAUGAAACAAUGGCCCGCAGACCCAAGUGGUUAGAGCUCAAUUCUUCUGUCCAGUCUUGUUGGCCCAUCUGCAUGGUCCUGGUGUUCACAUGAUAAGUUAACACUUCUGCCUGCAGGCCACUGUGCUGUAUCCUAUUGCUGCAACUCCUUCCCACAACAGGCUGGUUUACUGUUCAGCUCUCAGUUUCUCAGUCACAGCUCUAAGGCUGUUGCCUGCCCAGCCUUGUCUCUGACAGUUAACACCUAGGCUAGAGUUCAUGUGCAGCUUCUUGUUCUCUGCCAAGCCUGAUCCCUUGUGACCUCUUUCCUAUUCUCUUGGCAUUGUGGAGGUCUCUACUGACCAGGUUUUGAAAUAGGUAACAGUCCUUUCCCUUCAGUUCACUCUGGAUGGUUAGAAAGCAUCCAGUAAUGAGCCAGCAAGAUCAAUAUGCUAUAAUCCUCACCAAAAGAAGAGAUUACUUUAACAUGGUUCAAAAGACUGCAGCUUAAAACUGACAAGAAAGGAAGGAUGGGUGGAAGUACGAUCCCUUUCUUGUUUCAUGGUCAUCCUGUGCCCCAGCAUCAGCAGACGACUAGCCAGCUCUCCAUGAAUCAAUAGCAAGUGGUCCAUGACCACAAUUUGGAGACCAUUGCUUUAAAUCCUACUCCCGAAUGCUUUAUUUGUAAGUGGCAUCCAUGUGAGCUCCCACAUUACUUUUCUGAUGGUGCUGAACAAAAACAAAUCAUUUUGAAAGGAGAAAACAUUAUUUGCUCCAUCACUGGUAAACUAUCUGUAACCAAUUAUGAUUCCACAGUAAGGUGAUCUUAAAAAGGGUGCUUUGGUACUCCACAAUCAAUCAAUCAGCAUGUGCCCAGUGUAGUGCAUGCCACACACUGCAGCGUACACCAUUCAUGUUGUUUCUCUAACUUCUAGUUUAAAAUCCUGGAGCUUGGAAUUUUAUAUUUUCUUACCACCUGGUUAAACAUCAGUUAACCUUUUGGCUCUGGCUGAAUGUGUUCCCCAUUAAGACAAUGUUAUGCUAAUUCUGUCUCAAAUAAACAGCAUCCAUUGCUAUUCACUAUCAUUAAGCUAAAUCAGCUCCUUGGGAGACGUCCUAAUAAAGCAAACAUCUGUUCCAAUUAAAGGUGUCACAAAUAAGUGGUUGCCUGGUGUAGUUCUCUUUAGAAAAUGCAAGACAUUCAUAAUCAUUUUAAUGUAAAAAAAUAGAAUCCAGUUAGUGUACUGUCAUGUUGACUGCAUUUUCCAACAGUCUGCACUUGUUAAUUUACUUAAUGAAGUUGCUGAAGUAAAUUGGGAGUAGUCACCACUUUAUCACUCUCAAAUGCAUAAAAACAGAACUGAGCUGAAUUCUUCUCUUAAAUCUUAUUAGAAAACAACUCUAAAAUAUUUUAAAGACACUCAUUCUGUUACUUGGUGCAACAUUUUCCUUUUUGAUAUUACAGAGCAUCUCCUUUUGAAUUAAGUCUUUUCCUCAUUUUCUCUGGUCAGAAGUCACAUAUAUUUAGUUUUCUGAAAUUAGUAUCCAUCCUUUAUUUACUUGGCACCAGAGAAUACUGAAUGAGACAUCCUCCUCAAGGCCCUUCAUUUUCAGUUUUUAUUUAUUUUUACCAUUUUUAUUCCUAGUUUUCACAAAAGCCAUUAUGGGGUUGUUGAUUUUUUUUGUUCUUUAUUUUUUUAAACUGAUUUUCAUUGUAUUUUGGAAGUGCCAGAACUCCCUAGACCUAUCUCCCUGCUCCAGAAGGAGGCAUGGAUGCUUGGCAGCCUGGACCACCCAGGGUACUGAGCCACAUCUCUCCCCCUGGAGCGGGCCCCGAAGGAGAAGAGGUGUGGGAGACAAGGGCGCCAUCUCCUCAUGCUGCCUCUUCCACCUUUUCCACUUCCAGGCUCGCUCCAAGAGAGAUGAAGACUCUGUAACCAAGUUACUGAUAUGCCAUCUCUCCGUCCAAAAGAGGGUGUUGGCUCAGAAGUACCAGAAAGACUCGAGCGUUGGGGUCCAUAUUGCUGUCAAUCCCAUGUCCACCACAUAUAUACUACCAGCUUUAUAGAUAGCAAGGAUAGUUAUCAGCAUGGAAAGCGAAUCUAAGUUAGUGAAUUACUUUUCACGUCAAAAUGGGUCAAAAAACAAAAAAUCAUCUGAUGUUUUACAACAAAGGGAUUUUUGAAAAAGUUAAAAAAAAAUCAGGAGAAGAGAAUGAUAUUUACUUAGAAAACUGUAAAGUUAGUUUUCACACUGAUUUUCAAGUGUUUUUAAUUUUUGUAACAAACACAGAUACAUUCCUGGGAAAUUUUAAACAAAAUAAAAACUGAAAAUGAAGGGCUUUAGGUGUCCUUCACUAGCAAUGUAUUUCACAACAGAAAAUCCUUAUACCCAUCAAAUGUUACUGAAGCCUCAACCAUUUUAAAUCACCUAUAUCUUCUGUUUUUAAUCAAUUGUGGUCAAGGCAUUGAUGACACAGACAGCAUAUCACCAUAAGGUUAUCUUUUAUUAGAGAUCUUAUAUUCCAUUUCCCCAAAAAGAUAUAAAACCUUCCAAGAGAAAAUAUCAAAAACCUUCCAUUUAAAUCAGUUUGUUUCAGAGACAGAAUGAACAAGAAAAUUCAAAGACAUUUAAGAUAAGGGAAUGUAAAAAAAUCUCAGGACAGGUACAACUCUGGUCUGGAAAAUAAUUACAAUGUUUGAAACCAUAUCCUGAACAGCAUUUUCUUUAAAUCCAUAUUUGUGGAAAAUAAGGAUACUUGGGUCUCUUAACUACCAGUGUAGCUAUGAAAAUUAGAAAAAAUGUAAAAGAAUAUGAUUAAUUGGAUGGUGUAUAUAUGGUGAAUGCACAGAAAACCAAAAAUGUCACCAAAACUGCAAUAAUACAAUUCAAGUAUUGAGUAACCAUUCACAGGAGGUAUGGAAAAAAGGCAAGAGCCCAAUCUUGAAUUGAUCACCUAAGCAAAAUCUCUGCUUGCUGACUUUGGUGGAAGUUUUGAUUGAGGUAAGGAGUUCAACAUUGGGCCCCAAAUUGACUCAAAGUCAUAACUUACCAAAACUUGUAACUUAAACAGAAGGCAUUUAAGUUUUUCCCCCUGAUAAAAAAAAUUAAAAUUACUGGAACAAAGCAGAAGUCUGCUGGUUAAGGAGUAUUCAGGCAUUAUGAUUGUACAGCUGGUGACAAAUGAAAAACUGAUACAAUUCAUUGUUUAAUUAUAUUGAAACAGAUCCUUUGGAAACAAGUCCAAUAGGCAAGAAUACUUUAAAAUGUAUUGCAUCAAAAUUUUAAUUUUCUACUUAACAGAAUUUAAGAUAUUUUGAAUAUCCUCUUUGCACAGAAUGCACAGAGUGCUCAGAAGAUUUCUCACUUACAUAUGCAACAAAAAUAGAAAAUGUUGCCACAAUUUUCUGCUGGCAAGUCUAAAGAUUGUAAAUUUCAACUAAAAAGGGGGGAAAAAAUCAAAUACUGUAACCAAGAAAAUUUACAGUACAUGUUUAUUGCAUGAAAACAUCAAUUUACUGUUCUAUAUACCCUCAAAUACAAUUCUCACUUUUUAUAAACGGUUAGUGGUCAAUAUAUCCUUGACAUAAUUCACACCAGAUUCUGCUAAAUAUUCUACUUUUAAGUACAAAAUAUUUAGCAGAUUGAACUAAUUAUGAAUUAUGCAAUCAUGAUAAAGAGAGAUCCAAACCAUGACAGUACAUACAAAAAAAGAUAAAAAUUUAAUUUUAUGUUUGAAGUUGGAUGUAUGGCUACACGAUAUAAAUGGAUAUACCACAGCACCAAAGUUAUCUAAUUAAAAUAGUACAGUGGUCAAUUUUAGAGUUAGCAGAUAGUAUGUCUUUUCCAGUUAAGAGGAUUUAUCAUCUAUUAAUAUUAAGAAAAUCACUGAUAAAUGGAUAAAUAAAGCCUAAGCAAAAUGAAGUCAGAGGUACAAAGAUUAAGGAAGAUCAGUAAAGGGAAUAAUACUCAGAUGCAAAUUAGUAUAUUUUAAUUGUAAACAGUAGCUGUAUUCAGGGAAAUAGAAUUUUCAUACUCACAUGGCUUCAGCACUCAAUGCAAAAUACUUGAUAUGGUGAAAAUGAAGUGAGAGAAGUAAGAAGAUAUUCCUCAAUAAGGUAAACACUGACAGCAUAUGUAAGCAUGAGUAUUAGGUUUGAAGAGUGGCAUUUUUAAAAUAUAGGCACGUGAUUUUCAAUGCACCGUUUACCACAAUCUGUGAAAUGCAAUACUCCUUUUCUUAUUGUAUGAUGGGUUUUGCAAACUAUGUCUUACACACUAUCAAUUCUCUGCAUCAAGUUGCAGUUUCCUUGACAGUGGCUGAAUUAGAAUAUUACAAUAUUCCUUAGUCUUCCAAUAUUUUGUUUUAUGACAUCAUUUCAGUACAUUCAAAUAGUCAAAAUGUUCAGAAAAACACAGCACAAAUUUGGUGCCGGAGGACAUAGAUCAGAGUGUGGCCAGCAUGGUCAAAUAGAAGACACACAGUUUAAGUAUUAUAUAAACUACCCUUUUCCCCAAAACAGUGAUGUGGACAGUAAAAUAGUAA
Dermochelys coriacea (leatherback sea turtle) is the source of this 7405-nucleotide long non-coding RNA. RefSeq lists it as uncharacterized. Lineage: Eukaryota; Metazoa; Chordata; Testudines; Dermochelyidae. The record is from RefSeq and is a predicted model, not a curated record. The transcript is spliced from 2 exons.